UGGAUGAAUGCUCGUUGGUUGGAGCGCUUAGCUGUUAACUAAGAGUUUGGAGGAUCGAGGCCUUCUCGUCCAG
RNAcentral lists this transfer RNA (73 nucleotides) under Grammistes sexlineatus. Its description in RNAcentral is "tRNA-Asn". The record is from RNAcentral. Lineage: Eukaryota; Metazoa; Chordata; Actinopteri; Perciformes; Serranidae.